CUGCUCAAUGAUUUUUUAAAUUGCUGUGGUAUUUUGACUAUACAAAGGUAUUGUAAUAAGAUUUUAAUUGAAUGCUAAAAGAAUGGAAAUUUAAAAAAAAACUUUUUUAAAAAUAAAAAUUGAAUUUUUUUUAAUUUGUGCAAAAACAAUUAUACUUAUUAAAGACAAGAAGACCCUAAGAAUUUAAGAUUUUACAAUUAAAAAGUUUUUUUUUAAAAUCUUGAUUGGGGCGAUCAAAAAAUAUUAAUAACUUUUUAAAAUUUAAAUUGAUCUAUUAUUAAUAAACUAAUGAAUUAAAUACUCUAGGGAUAACAGCGUAAUAAUUUUUGAUAGAUCUUAUUGACAAAAUAGUUUGCGACCUCGAUGUUGGAUUAGGAUUCUUUUUUAAUGAAGAAGUUAAAAAAAGAAGUUUGUUCAACUUUUAAAUUCCUACUUGAUCUGAGUUCAGACCGG
This 453-nucleotide ribosomal RNA is filed under the name Hyalomma marginatum. RNAcentral describes it as "16S ribosomal RNA". The stretch from base 308 to 453 matches the Rfam family "Bacterial large subunit ribosomal RNA", at positions 2473 to 2619 of the family's 2925-position model. The record is from RNAcentral. Lineage: Eukaryota; Metazoa; Arthropoda; Arachnida; Ixodida; Ixodidae.